GAGGGUAUAGUUCAAGUGGUAGAGUGCAUGCUUAGCAUGUACGUGGUCCUGGGUUCAAUCCCCAGUACCUCCA
RNAcentral lists this transfer RNA (73 nucleotides) under Camelus bactrianus (Bactrian camel). It matches the Rfam family "tRNA". From Rfam's summary of the family: Transfer RNA (tRNA) molecules are approximately 80 nucleotides in length. RNAcentral also lists the same sequence under 2 other names. Lineage: Eukaryota; Metazoa; Chordata; Mammalia; Artiodactyla; Camelidae. The record is from Rfam by way of RNAcentral.